CAGCCGCCACGGUAAUACGAAGGGGGCUAGCGUUGCUCGGAAUGACUGGGCGUAAAGGGCGCGUAGGCGGUUUAUACAGUCAGAUGUGAAAUUCCUGGGCUCAACCUGGGGACUGCAUUUGAUACGUAUGGACUUGAGUGGAGAAGAGGGUUGUGGAAUUUCCAGUGUAGAGGUGAAAUUCGUAGAUAUUGGAAAGAACACCGGUGGCGAAGGCGGCAACCUGGUCUUUAACUGACGCUGAGGCGCGAAAGCGUGGGGAGCAAACAGGAUUAGAUACCCCUGUAGUCCCUGUCUCUUAUAC
RNAcentral lists this ribosomal RNA (301 nucleotides) under uncultured bacterium. RNAcentral describes it as "partial 16S ribosomal RNA". It matches the Rfam family "Bacterial small subunit ribosomal RNA", at positions 509 to 807 of the family's 1533-position model. The record is from RNAcentral.